RNAcentral lists this ribosomal RNA (427 nucleotides) under uncultured bacterium. RNAcentral describes it as "partial 16S ribosomal RNA". It matches the Rfam family "Bacterial small subunit ribosomal RNA", at positions 355 to 774 of the family's 1533-position model. The record is from RNAcentral.
UGGGGAAUAUUGCACAAUGGGCGCAAGCCUGAUGCAGCCAUGCCGCGUGUAUGAAGAAGGCCUUCGGGUUGUAAAGUACUUUCAGCGAGGAGGAAGGCGUUGUGGUUAAUAACCGCAACGAUUGACGUUACUCGCAGAAGAAGCACCGGCUAACUCCGUGCCAGCAGCCGCGGUAAUACGGAGGGUGCAAGCGUUAAUCGGAAUUACUGGGCGUAAAGCGCACGCAGGCGGUCUGUCAACUCGGAUGUGAAAUCCCCGGGCUCAACCUGGGAACUGCAUCCGAAACUGGCAGGCUAGAGUCUUGUAGAGGGGGGUAGAAUUCCAGGUGUAGCGGUGAAAUGCGUAGAGAUCUGGAGGAAUACCGGUGGCGAAGGCGGCCCCCUGGACAAAGACUGACGCUCAGGUGCGAAAGCGUGGGGAGCAAACA